Molecule: small nucleolar RNA, 108 nt
Organism: Zingiber officinale
Lineage: Eukaryota; Viridiplantae; Streptophyta; Magnoliopsida; Zingiberales; Zingiberaceae
Source: RefSeq, a predicted model, not a curated record
AACCCAUGAUGAGGACACUGCUUCAAUAAACUUUAGAAUCUCUCUCAUGCUUUGAAUAGUGAUUCUUCUUCUAUCUGAGCAAAGGUCAUGAUUUGGUUUCUCAUGAAU